UUAAGCGACUAAGCGUACACGGUGGAUGCCUAGGCAGUCAGAGGCGAUGAAGGGCGUGCUAAUCUGCGAUAAGCGUCGGUAAGCUGAUAUGAAGCGUUACAACCGACGAUACCCGAAUGGGGAAACCCAGUGCAAUUCGUUGCACUAUUGCAUGGUGAAUACAUAGCCAUGCAAGGCGAACCGGGGGAACUGAAACAUCUAAGUACCCCGAGGAAAAGAAAUCAACCGAGAUUCCCCUAGUAGCGGCGAGCGAACGGGGAAGAGCCCAGAGUCUGAAUCAGUUUGUGUGUUAGUGGAAGCGUCUGGAAAGUCGCAGGGUACAGGGUGAUACUCCCGUACACAAAAACACACUUGCUGUGAACUCGAUGAGUAGGGCGGGACACGUGACAUCCUGUCUGAAUAUGGGGGGACCAUCCUCCAAGGCUAAAUACUCCUGACUGACCGAUAGUGAACCAGUACCGUGAGGGAAAGGCGAAAAGAACCCCGGCGAGGGGAGUGAAAUAGAACCUGAAACCGUGUACGUACAAGCAGUGGGAGCCUUGAUUUAUCAGGGUGACUGCGUACCUUUUGUAUAAUGGGUCAGCGACUUAUAUUUUGUAGCAAGGUUAACCGAAUAGGGGAGCCGUAGGGAAACCGAGUCUUAACUGGGCGUCUAGUUGCAAGGUAUAGACCCGAAACCCGGUGAUCUAGCCAUGGGCAGGUUGAAGGUUGGGUAACACUAACUGGAGGACCGAACCGACUAAUGUUGAAAAAUUAGCGGAUGACUUGUGGCUGGGGGUGAAAGGCCAAUCAAACCGGGAGAUAGCUGGUUCUCCCCGAAAGCUAUUUAGGUAGCGCCUCGUGAACUCAUCUUCGGGGGUAGAGCACUGUUUCGGCUAGGGGGUCAUCCCGACUUACCAAACCGAUGCAAACUCCGAAUACCGAAGAAUGUUAUCACGGGAGACACACGGCGGGUGCUAACGUCCGUCGUGAAGAGGGAAACAACCCAGACCGCCAGCUAAGGUCCCAAAGUCAUGGUUAAGUGGGAAACGAUGUGGGAAGGCAUAGACAGCCAGGAUGUUGGCUUAGAAGCAGCCAUCAUUUAAAGAAAGCGUAAUAGCUCACUGGUCGAGUCGGCCUGCGCGGAAGAUGUAACGGGGCUAAACCAUGCACCGAAGCUGCGGCAGCGACACUUAGGUGUUGUUGGGUAGGGGAGCGUUCUGUAAGCCGUUGAAGGUGACCUGUGAGGGUUGCUGGAGGUAUCAGAAGUGCGAAUGCUGACAUAAGUAACGAUAAUGGGGGUGAAAAACCCGCACGCCGGAAGACCAAGGGUUCCUGUCCAACGUUAAUCGGGGCAGGGUGAGUCGACCCCUAAGGCGAGGCUGAAAAGCGUAGUCGAUGGGAAACAGGUUAAUAUUCCUGUACUUGGUGUUACUGCGAAGGGGGGACGGAGAAGGCUAGGCUAGCCGGGCGACGGUUGUCCCGGUUUAAGCAUGUAGGCGGAGUGACUUGGUAAAUCCGGUUGCUUAUCAACGCUGAGGUGUGAUGACGAGUCACUACGGUGAUGAAGUAGUUGAUGCCAAGCUUCCAGGAAAAGCCUCUAAGCAUCAGGUAACAUUAAAUCGUACCCCAAACCGACACAGGUGGUCAGGUAGAGAAUACUCAGGCGCUUGAGAGAACUCGGGUGAAGGAACUAGGCAAAAUGGUGCCGUAACUUCGGGAGAAGGCACGCUGGCAUUAGGUAAAGGGACUUGCUCCCGGCGCCGAAGCCAGUCGCAGAUACCAGCUGGCUGCAACUGUUUAAUAAAAACACAGCACUGUGCAAACACGAAAGUGGACGUAUACGGUGUGACGCCUGCCCGGUGCUGGAAGGUUAAUUGAUGGGGUCAGCCGCAAGGCGAAGCUCUUGAUCGAAGCCCCAGUAAACGGCGGCCGUAACUAUAACGGUCCUAAGGUAGCGAAAUUCCUUGUCGGGUAAGUUCCGACCUGCACGAAUGGCGUAAUGAUGGCCAGGCUGUCUCCACCCGAGACUCAGUGAAAUUGAACUCGCUGUGAAGAUGCAGUGUACCCGCGGCAAGACGGAAAGACCCCGUGAACCUUUACUAUAGCUUGACACUGAACAUUGAGCCUUGAUGUGUAGGAUAGGUGGGAGGCAUCGAAGCGUGGACGCCAGUCUGCGUGGAGCCAACCUUGAAAUACCACCCUUUAAUGUUUGAUGUUCUAACUCGGCCCCGUAAUCCGGGGUGAGGACAGUGUCUGGUGGGUAGUUUGACUGGGGCGGUCUCCUCCCAAAGAGUAACGGAGGAGCACGAAGGUUAGCUAAUCACGGUCGGACAUCGUGAGGUUAGUGCAAAGGCAUAAGCUAGCUUGACUGCGAGAGUGACGGCUCGAGCAGGUACGAAAGUAGGUCUUAGUGAUCCGGUGGUUCUGAAUGGAAGGGCCAUCGCUCAACGGAUAAAAGGUACUCCGGGGAUAACAGGCUGAUACCGCCCAAGAGUUCAUAUCGACGGCGGUGUUUGGCACCUCGAUGUCGGCUCAUCACAUCCUGGGGCUGAAGUAGGUCCCAAGGGUAUGGCUGUUCGCCAUUUAAAGUGGUACGCGAGCUGGGUUUAGAACGUCGUGAGACAGUUCGGUCCCUAUCUGCCGUGGGCGUUGGAAGAUUGAGAGGGGCUGCUCCUAGUACGAGAGGACCGGAGUGGACGAAUCACUGGUGUUCGGGUUGUCAUGCCAAUGGCAUUGCCCGGUAGCUAAAUUCGGAAGAGAUAACCGCUGAAAGCAUCUAAGCGGGAAACUUGCCUCGAGAUGAGUCUUCCCUGGGGCUUUAAGCCCCCUGAAGGAACGUUAAAGACUAUGACGUUGAUAGGCUGGGUGUGUAAGUGCAGCGAUGCAUUGAGCUAACCAGUACUAAUGAUCCGUGAGGCUUAACCUU
This 2908-nucleotide ribosomal RNA is filed under the name Yersinia rohdei. RNAcentral describes it as "bacterial LSU rRNA". It matches the Rfam family "Bacterial large subunit ribosomal RNA". Lineage: Bacteria; Pseudomonadati; Pseudomonadota; Gammaproteobacteria; Enterobacterales; Yersiniaceae. The record is from RNAcentral.